AGAACGAACGCUGGCGGCAGGCCUAACACAUGCAAGUCGAACGUGAGGCCACCUUCGGGUGGUGGAAAGUGACAGACGGGUGAGUAACGCGUGGGAAUCUACCCAAUGGUACGGAAUAACUCAGGGAAACUUGAGCUAAUACCGUAUGUGCCCGAAAGGGGAAAGAUUUAUCGCCAUUGGAUGAGCCCGCGUCUGAUUAGCUAGUUGGUGGGGUAAUGGCCCACCAAGGCGACGAUCAGUAGCUGGUCUGAGAGGAUGAUCAGCCACACUGGGACUGAGACACGGCCCCCGACUCCUUCGGGAGGCAGCAAUGAGGAAUAUUGCGCAAUGGGGGAAACCCUGACGCAGCGACGCCGCGUGGGUGAGGAAGUCCUUCGGGAUGUAAAGCCCUUUUCUCGGGGAAGAGCACGGACGGUACCCGAGGAAUAAGCCCCGGCUAACUACGUGCCAGCAGCCGC
This 458-nucleotide ribosomal RNA is filed under the name uncultured bacterium. RNAcentral's name for it is "SSU rRNA". It matches the Rfam family "Bacterial small subunit ribosomal RNA", at positions 26 to 518 of the family's 1533-position model. The record is from RNAcentral.